GGAAUCAAUGUGUGAGGUGGUGCUAUGUAGCAGGAACCCCUCUUGCUUUGCAAAUAGUUUUUUGUUUGUUUUCCUUUUUGCCCAAUAGAGCCCUGCUCUACUGACCCUUCAAUGUGCCCGUGUGCCUAAAUAUUCCUGGUCGUGUGAAAAGAACCCAGGUAUUAGCUGAACUAAGGAGCACAAUUCUGCAACAUUUUGGCACCCAAACACGGGGCUUGAGAAAUGAAUGCAAUUGGAGAAACUGGUUGUUUUACCAGGCGUUGAUUGGAAAUGUGUGCUUCCCUUUAAGCAGUCAAGCUCAACUUGCAGAACUGAUGGGAACCCCUUGGGAAAACUGGCCUCAAAUGUUUGUCUACACAGUCCACAUACAGGGUUCUUAACCUGCGAGACGGGGUUUCAUCGUGUUAGCCAGAAUGGUCUCGAUCUCCUGACCUCGUGAUUCGCCAGCCUCGGCCUCCCAAAGUGCUGGGAUUACAGGCGUGAGCCACCACGCCCAGCCGGCAUAUUUAACUAUCCGGCUAUUUUGGAGAUUGAAAAAAGAAGACCUGAUUUAUCAUGUGCAAUAUCUCACACAUCUGUCAUUUCUAUUCUACCGCAAUUCGAUGGAGUCUUGUUCUGUGGUCCAGGCUAGAGGGCAGUGGCAUGAUCUCGGCUCACUACAAGCUCUGCCUCCCGGGUUCACGCCAUUCUCCUGCCUCAGCCUCCUGAGUAGCUGGGACUACAGGCGCCCGCCACCACGCCUGGCUAAUUUUUUGUAUAUUUACUAGAGAUGGCUAGUGUUAGCCAAGAUGGUCUCGAUCUCCUGACCUCGUGAUCUGCCCACCUCAGCCUGCCAAAGUGCUGGGAUUACUGGCGUGAGCCACCGUGCCUGGCCAGCAUCCUCUAAUUAUUAUUCAUAGUUUGUGAAUUUAGGCCUACGUGAAUAAUAAUAUAAUAUUUACUAUGAUGUUACUAUCUACCAACCUUAUUUUUCUUUUCUAUAAAAUAGGAGCCAAAAUAAUAUUUAUGUCAUACCUUAUGAAGUUAAAAUAAAAUAUAACGAAUGAGGGGCU
This 1052-nucleotide long non-coding RNA is filed under the name Homo sapiens (human). RNAcentral describes it as "p53 upregulated regulator of p53 levels". Lineage: Eukaryota; Metazoa; Chordata; Mammalia; Primates; Hominidae. The record is from RNAcentral.